CGCGGCCUAUCAGCUUGUUGGUGAGGUAAUGGCUCACCAAGGCGACGACGGGUAGCCGGCCUGAGAGGGCGACCGGCCACACUGGGACUGAGACACGGCCCAGACUCCUACGGGAGGCAGCGGUGGGGAAUAUUGGGCAAUGGGCGCAAGCCUGACCCAGCGACGCCGCGUGAGGGAUGAAGGCCUUCGGGUUGUAAACCUCUUUCAGUAGGGAAGAAGCGAAAGUGACGGUACCUAAAGAAGAAGCACCGGCUAACUAUGUGCCAGCAGCCGCGGUAAUACAUAGGGUGCAAGCGUUGUCCGGAAUUAUUGGGCGUAAAGAGCUCGUAGGUCGUUUGCCGCGUCGAUUGUGAAAAUCUGAGGCUCAACCUCAGACCUGCAGUCGAUACGGGCAAACUAGAGUGUGGUAGGGGAGACUGGAAUUCCUGGUGUAGCGGUGGAAUGCGCAGAUAUCAGGAGGAACACCAAUGGCGAAGGCAGGUCUCUGGGCCAUAACUGACACUGAGGAGCGAAAGCGCGGGGAGCGAACAGGAUUAGAUACCCUGGUAGUCCGCGCCGUAAACGGUGGGCACUAGCUGUGAGGACCUUCCACGGUCUUCGCGACGCAGCAAACGCAUUAAGUGCCCCGCCUGGGGAGUACGG
RNAcentral lists this ribosomal RNA (642 nucleotides) under uncultured Actinomycetes bacterium. RNAcentral's name for it is "bacterial SSU rRNA". It matches the Rfam family "Bacterial small subunit ribosomal RNA", at positions 232 to 885 of the family's 1533-position model. The record is from RNAcentral. Lineage: Bacteria; Bacillati; Actinomycetota; Actinomycetes.